UUGGAAACGACGUCUAAUACCGGAUACGAGCUAGGACCGCAUGGUCACUAGUUGGAAAGAAUUUCGGUCAAGGAUGGACUCGCGGCCUAUCAGCUAGUUGGUGAGGUAACGGCCCACCAAGGCGACGACGGGUAGCCGGCCUGAGAGGGUGACCGGCCACACUGGGACUGAGACACGGCCCAGACUCCUACGGGAGGCAGCAGUGGGGAAUAUUGCACAAUGGGCGCAAGCCUGAUGCAGCAACGCCGCGUGAGGGACGACGGCCUUCGGGUUGUAAACCUCUUUUAGCAGGGAAGAAGCGAAAGUGACGGUACCUGCAGAAAAAGCACCGGCUAACUACGUGCCAGCAGCCGCGGUAAUACGUAGGGUGCAAGCGUUGUCCGGAAUUAUUGGGCGUAAAGAGCUCGUAGGCGGUUUGUCGCGUCUGCUGUGAAAAUCCGAGGCUCAACCUCGGACCUGCAGUGGGUACGGGCAAACUAGAGUGCGGUAGGGGAGAUUGGAAUUCCUGGUGUAGCGGUGGAAUGCGCAGAUAUCAGGAGGAACACCAAUGGCGAAGGCAGA
Molecule: ribosomal RNA, 561 nt
Filed under: actinobacterium MS-B-44
Lineage: Bacteria; Bacillati; Actinomycetota; Actinomycetes
Description: bacterial SSU rRNA
Rfam family: Bacterial small subunit ribosomal RNA
Source: RNAcentral